Molecule: ribosomal RNA, 526 nt
Filed under: Bifidobacterium bifidum
Lineage: Bacteria; Bacillati; Actinomycetota; Actinomycetes; Bifidobacteriales; Bifidobacteriaceae
Description: bacterial SSU rRNA
Rfam family: Bacterial small subunit ribosomal RNA
Source: RNAcentral
AAUGCCGGAUGUUCCACAUGAUCGCAUGUGAUUGUGGGAAAGAUUCUAUCGGCGUGGGAUGGGGUCGCGUCCUAUCAGCUUGUUGGUGAGGUAACGGCUCACCAAGGCUUCGACGGGUAGCCGGCCUGAGAGGGCGACCGGCCACAUUGGGACUGAGAUACGGCCCAGACUCCUACGGGAGGCAGCAGUGGGGAAUAUUGCACAAUGGGCGCAAGCCUGAUGCAGCGACGCCGCGUGAGGGAUGGAGGCCUUCGGGUUGUAAACCUCUUUUGUUUGGGAGCAAGCCUUCGGGUGAGUGUACCUUUCGAAUAAGCGCCGGCUAACUACGUGCCAGCAGCCGCGGUAAUACGUAGGGCGCAAGCGUUAUCCGGAUUUAUUGGGCGUAAAGGGCUCGUAGGCGGCUCGUCGCGUCCGGUGUGAAAGUCCAUCGCUUAACGGUGGAUCUGCGCCGGGUACGGGCGGGCUGGAGUGCGGUAGGGGAGACUGGAAUUCCCGGUGUAACGGUGGAAUGUGUAGAUAUCGGAAA